GGAGUAUAACACAAAAUCUACAACUUAGACAUCACAAAAUUAUCAAAAGCAUUUGAGAAGAUGCCAUCUGAUACGACCAGUCAAUCCGACGACCCGAUAGAAACUCAGUCGAUCCGACGAUCCGAUAAGUACCCGACUAGACGAUCUGUUCGCAUGGCUAAUAUGUGAUGGAUUUAAAAUGCACUUGAAGGAAAAGGUGGAUCUUAUCCAGGGAUAGUUGCUGCUUUUGAUUUGAUGAAAAACUUGUACAGGAUUCAGCAUCUUUUCUACAUCCUAGUUUUUAAAGAAAGAUAGGCACUGGUUGCAAGUUUUCAGCCAUAGGCAAAUGGUAUAGCUUUUGAUGUAAUUAUCACCUUGAUUUCUAACGCACAUGGAGCUAGCCUACAUGGAGCCUCUAACCUAAUUUCACAUGGAGCCUCUUAACAUAAUUUCACUGAAAUAUUUCAUUCAAGUUGGAAAGAAAGUUGGCCAUCAAUCGAAUUUACUAGAAUAUGAACAUAUAUUGCAAAAAAAAAAAAAAGAAACAUGUCCCCAAAUACAAUUUGCAUCAAUCUCCAAGGUUACUUUAGAGAGACGAAAGCGGAAACUGUUAAUUCAAGGUGUGAGACAUUUCAGAUGUCUUCCAUACAUAAUCAUCAUCCAUACAAAAGAUAGAGAGAAAGAAAGAAAAAGAGUUGAGGCCACAAGGAAUUCCAAUUAGUUACUAUCAGUCUGGGGAAAUUAUAUAAAACCUCUUUUUCAUUUAUUUAUGAUGUUUGAUCAUAUCAUCACCAU
This is a long non-coding RNA of Brassica oleracea var. oleracea, 774 nucleotides long. RefSeq lists it as uncharacterized. The record is from RefSeq and is a predicted model, not a curated record. The transcript is spliced from 2 exons. NCBI's taxonomy places the organism in Eukaryota, Viridiplantae, Streptophyta, Magnoliopsida, Brassicales, Brassicaceae.